UACGUAGGGGGCAAGCGUUGUCCGGCAUUAUUGGGCGUAAAGAGCUCGUAGGCGGUUUGUCGCGUCUGCUGUGAAAACCCGAGGCUCAACCUCGGGCCUGCAGUGGGUACGGGCAGACUAGAGUGCGGUAGGGGAGAUUGGAAUUCCUGGUGUAGCGGUGGAAUGCGCAGAUAUCAGGAGGAACACCAAUGGCGAAGGCAGAUCUCUGGGCCGGAACUGACGCUGAGGAGCGAAAGCAUGGGGAGCGAACAGG
This 253-nucleotide ribosomal RNA is filed under the name uncultured bacterium. Its description in RNAcentral is "partial 16S ribosomal RNA". It matches the Rfam family "Bacterial small subunit ribosomal RNA", at positions 524 to 776 of the family's 1533-position model. The record is from RNAcentral.